RNAcentral lists this ribosomal RNA (489 nucleotides) under Mannheimia varigena. RNAcentral's name for it is "bacterial SSU rRNA". It matches the Rfam family "Bacterial small subunit ribosomal RNA", at positions 30 to 506 of the family's 1533-position model. The record is from RNAcentral. Lineage: Bacteria; Pseudomonadati; Pseudomonadota; Gammaproteobacteria; Pasteurellales; Pasteurellaceae.
AUUGAACGCUGGCGGCAGGCUUAACACAUGCAAGUCGAACGGUAACAGGGAGAAGCUUGCUUCUUUGCUGACGAGUGGCGGACGGGUGAGUAAUGCUUGGGAAUCUGGCUUAUGGAGGGGGAUAACUACUGGAAACGGUAGCUAAUACCGCGUAAUCUCUUUGGAGUAAAGGGUGGGACUUUCGGGCCACCUGCCAUAAGAUGAGCCCAAGUGGGAUUAGCUAGUUGGUGAGGUAAAGGCUCACCAAGGCGACGAUCUCUAGCUGGUCUGAGAGGAUGACCAGCCACACUGGAACUGAGACACGGUCCAGACUCCUACGGGAGGCAGCAGUGGGGAAUAUUGCACAAUGGGGGGAACCCUGAUGCAGCCAUGCCGCGUGAAUGAAGAAGGCCUUCGGGUUGUAAAGUUCUUUCGGUAGCGAGGAAGGUGCUUUGUUUAAUAGACAAAGCAAUUGACGUUAACUACAGAAGAAGCACCGGCUAACUCCGU